UUGAAAGGGAAACGAUUGAAGUCAGUCGUACCAGCGGGAAAUCAACCUUUCGAGUGGGGUUUUGGAGUUUUUUGAAGAGUGUCAAAACCUUCAUUUCAAAAUAUUCGCUCUUUUGGUGUACUUUCUCGUGGGUAGGUUAACAUCGAUUUUGAUCAUCAUAAAAAGAUUGGAGGAAUGUAGCUUCGAUCUUGUAUUGAAGUGUUACAGCCUUUGGUAAAUGUGAUGAUUAGGAUCGAGGAUUGCAACGAAUACCCUUUUGGGCUAUCCGCCUGAUCUCUGAUACGUGGCCUUAGUAUCGAAAGCGUGCUUAUGGUAUUGAGGUAUUACGGUCAAAAGGUUAGAACGGAUUACAUUCGUUAAGGAUGUUGACGUA
This 373-nucleotide ribosomal RNA is filed under the name uncultured Glomeromycotina. RNAcentral describes it as "LSU rRNA". Lineage: Eukaryota; Fungi; Glomeromycota. The record is from RNAcentral.